Molecule: long non-coding RNA, 5162 nt
Organism: Monodelphis domestica (gray short-tailed opossum)
Lineage: Eukaryota; Metazoa; Chordata; Mammalia; Didelphimorphia; Didelphidae
Source: RefSeq, a predicted model, not a curated record
CUUACCCCCCCUUCCCCCCGCCCUUUCUGUGGCGGAGAAUGACGGGAAGAGGCGUCUGGAGAGGGCCGGCGUGUCGUCAUGCGACGCCCAGGACCUACGACGUGCGCAUGCGCAUUUCUCAUCCUCGCGUAGGGGCGGGAGAAGGGUUAGAAACGGCCGUCGCGUGACGUCAUGGGAUAGCUGCCCCACCCAGGGCCAUGAUUGGUUGGGGAAGAUGUGGGCAUACACGCAAAUUCCUGAGUCCGGAGCGGUUCUCCAUCGGAUCCUCAGCUUCUCCAUCCCGGAAAUGGGUUUAGCUGUCAAAGUCCAGACCGCUUCACCGCCGUCUUCUCCUAAUUACCUCCCCACGCCCCGGCGGGUUAGCUUUAGGGGACGGGGCACACUCCCAGCACACAUUUACACCCUAGAGGAGCCCAUGCGGUGUGUUGCCCCCAGACCCACAAUAAAACCCCAUUUUACAGAAGAUCUGAGGCUGAGUCUUCCGAGAACGACCCAGGAUCAACUAUUAUCCCACAUCAUUUAUUUGGUGGCCCAUAAGGACACUGUUUUCGGCUCAGACUUAAUCCAUUUCCUUCUGACCCCCUUUCUUUCCUCUCAUGCCUGCCACCUUCCAAUACCGCGCACUCUUGGGGGAGGGGUGGGGAGGAUUUGGCCUCUAUGGCUGGCAAGUUCUUCACUGGCCUCUACGACUGGUAAGUUGCUCGAGCCAGAGGACAUUCUGUGUGUUUUGCCACGGGACCCUGUGCUAGAGUUAGUCCUGAGGAAGGAAAAGGAAAGGUAAGCCUUCCUUGUUCUUUCUUGUGACUGGUGCCUCCCAGUACCCAGGAAGGUUGGGAGAAGAGCUGGGAGGAAAGACAUAGGAACUAGGCUUUAUUGGCUUUUCUAUAGGUCAGUAUCCCUCAAUUCCCUGGGAAUUCCUUUUGGGUUAUUUCUGCAUGUGUUUGGUGAAAUUUGAGCCUGAUGAGGCUCCUCACUUACUUGAUGACUGAUUCCUUUCUAACCAGCCUAGCGCUCCCAUGGCCCCUCCAACCCUAUCACUCGUAUCUGAGGCUGGAGCCUGUUAUAUCUUAGUGAACCCACUGCUGCCCUGUUCUUCCUAUCUAGGCCCAAUUUUGAGCCCCUGGAAUAGAAGUAGAAGCCCUUAACCUUCCUCAGAACCAUGGAAUUAGAAGUACAAGUUCCUUUCUCCAUGACCAACCUCUCCCAAAUCAAAGAGAAAUUGGGGAGAUAUUCAGAGAACUCCACUAAAUUUGUUGAGAAUUUUAAGGUGAUGGGUGGUCUUAUAAUUUGACCAACCUUGGGGCAAUGUUAACAUUCUUUCAUCCUGUGGUACUAUAGAGAAGAAGAAGAAAAAAGAUAUAGGUCUUGGUUCAAAAAAUUGGGAUUGACAUGGCCGAGACCAUCAAGCUGGUCUAUACCUGCCUGAGGCAGUAGGGAUUUUGUGGCUAAUCCAGAAUUAGUCUGUGGGAAACCACCAUGGCAGGGGCAAAAGAAAUCAUUGGCUUACCUGUCUCAUGGAGGAAAUGAAAAAGGAGUGAAGAAACAAGAAAAACUUAAAGAGCUUACUGCCCGAACAAGAAAAUUCUGCCCUUUUCCAAAGAAGACUAGUUAAAAAAAUUAAAAGAUGUUCUAACUUAGAUCUCAAAUCCCCUGAAGGUGCCACCAUCCUGGGCAUGUGCUUAAUUGGCCAAUUUGCCCCAGAUAUCAGAAAAUAACUUGAAAAUUGCCUAUGGGACCUCAGAUUCUACAAUUUCAACUUUUAGAGACCACUUUCAGGGUGUUUAAUAACAGGGGCUGAACCUUAGUAGAGCAAGGAACAGAGAACAGGCUUAAAUUUUGGCUACCCUCAUAUCUAAUGCCCAAAAGGGGGGCUUCUGCUUUAAAUGUCAUUGGUUUGAAGAGUGCCCACAAAAGAGGAAUCUUCUGGGCCCUUGUCUAAUGUGUGGUCAAGAAGGCCACUGGAGGAGAGAGUGCCAUAAGAAUGGCCACAAAAUGAACCAUUGAUUUAAAGAGUACCCUCAGAGGAGGAAACCUCUGGGCCCCUGUCAUUGGCCAAGAAGGGCACUAGAAGAAAAAGUGGAUAAUGAAGAGAAGUCUAAGAAAUAUCUUGAAACUCUCCCUUUGAUUUGCCAACUUUUUUAUUGGGGAGAUAUUUGAUGAAUUUUGAGGAGAGAACUGAAAAAAGUAAACUUUCCUAUUAGAUCCUAGGUGUCCUCAAAGUGCAUCAACAUACCUUCCUUCAUAGAAGGAUAGAUAUCCUGGAAUAGUCAGAAUAGGCAAUGAUGGUGCAAGGAAGUGUUCAUUUAUGUCUAGAUUUUAAGGAGGGAAAAGAAGUCUUUUUAAAAAACUAAUCAAAUCUCUGAUAACAACUCUUAAUAAACUGUGUUUCAGAGAAGAGGUUAUUGGCUUGUGUGAAUGUAGUUCAAACUAAUGAGUUUGUGUAUUCUAACACCUGGAGGAUUGUAACACACCUCUACAAAACCAGUGGAAGGUCCUUUUGGGGGAAGAAAGUCCUCCUGGCCCUCUUUAAGAUGCCCCUCAAAGCCUCAGUCAAGCUUAGCCUUUUUUUUUUAAGGUUUAUUUUUUUCCCAUUUGAAUAAGUUUAUUUAGUCAAUUUAGAACAUUAUUCCUUGGUUACAAUAAUCACAUUAUUUCCCUCCUUCCCCUCCACCCACUCUUCCCACAGCCAAAACACAAUUUCAUUGGGUAUUACAUGUGUCCUUGAUCAGAACCCAUCUCCAUGUUGUUGUUUACACCAAGAUGUUCAUUUAGAAUCUACAUCCCCAAUAAUAUGCCUUCAACACAUGUAUUCAAGCAGUUGUUUUUCUUCUGUGUUUCUACUCCCACAGUUUUUCCUCUGAAUGUGGAUAGUGAUCUCGUAGAUCCCUCCAAGUUGUUUGGAUCACUGCAUUGCCACUAAUGGAGAAGUCCAUUACGUUCGAUUGUACCACAGUGUAGUUCUGCUCCUCUCACUCUGUAUCACUUCCUGGAGGUUGUUCCAGUCUUCAUGGAAUUCCUCCACUUUAUUAUUCCUUUGAGCACAAUAGUAUCCCAUCACCAACAUAUACCACCACAAUUUGUUCAGCCAUUCCCCAACUGAAGGGCAUCCCCUCAUUGUCCAAUUUUUGGCCACCACAAAGAGCGCAGCUGUGAAUAUUCUUGUACAAGUCUUUCUCAUUUCUUUGGGGUACAAACCCAGCAGUGUUAUGGCUGGAUCAAAGGGCAGAUAGUCUUUUAUUGCCCUUUGUGCAUAGUUCCAGAUUGCCCUCCAGAAUGGUUGGAUCAAUUCACAACUCCACCAGCAGUGCAUUAAUGUCCCAACUUUGCCACAUCCCCUCCAGCAUUCAUUACUUUCCUUUGCUGUCACAUUAGCCAAUCUUCUGGGUGUGAGGUGAUACCUCAGUUGUUUUGAUUUCAAGCUUAGCCUUCUUGAGUUGCUCUAAGGGAUGUUCUUGUAGACCCAGAACAAUUCCUUUGCAAACCAACAUGCCAUCUAAUGCAGCUAUGCAGGGGGCCUUACACAACCAUGUUGAUGCACAUUUCCUCAAGCUUGACUCUCUUGGCCACCUAACUCCAUACAAGGGGACCUUGUCUGUCUGGGAACCUGGAGGGCUGAGAGUGCAGAACAGUUCAGCCCAGGGUGGAAAGUGCAUGGAGAGUGACAGAAAUUAAGCUGGAUGGCAUAUCUCUUUGCAAGAUAUCAACCUAGGAGAUUGAGAAGAAAGGGACGACUCCUCACACAUCCUUUGUAGGCUCUUACAGGCAAGGACCCUGACCUCUGACCAGUUAAACAGAGAAACAUCUUUCCAUGGAUGCCCCCCACCACUGGGGAGAAGGCCCCAAAUUCUGCCAUGUUUUCUGCCUCCCUAGAACUCCCUACUCCAUAGGGCAUUAAGAACAGGUCGUGUACCCUCUAGGUGCUCAAUAAAGACUUCAUGCAUGAAUGUAUCUGUCACUUCAUAAUAUUUGAGUGUCCCCUUUCUAGAGCACGCUUUGUACCAGGAAUGGGGGGAUGAAAAGGGCCCUUCGCCCCUAAAAUUCUCUGACUUUCACCUAAUAAUUCAACUCCAGUACUAUGAAAGGAAAAAGUUUCCUAUACAGUAACAGAAUUGUCCAGGCCUAUUCUAUAGCCCAGUCAUUUCAAAUAUCAAAGGAUUUAAAUAACAGAAAGCUUAAUUAAAUGUCUACUAUGGGCUAGACCAGUGAUGGCAAACCUUUUAGAGUCCAAGUACCCAAACUGCAAACUUAACACUGCAUCUGAGUCCCCUGUCUUGCCUCAGACAGGGGAGGGAAGAAGCAUUCUUUUUUUUUUUUUAAAUAAAACCCUUACCUUCUGUCUUGGAGCCAAGGCAGAAGAGUGGUGAAGAAGCAUUCUUAUUGGGUUUCUAGGCAGAGGGGUGGGUGAUGGGAGAAAUGUCGUCAAGCUGAGUGUGGAAAGGGGGAGGGGAGCAGCCUCCUCCACCACGUGUGCCAUAGGUUCACUAACACAGGGUUGGUCCGUAUCUUAGGCACUAGGGAUAUGGAUGGAACCCACUCAGGAUCCUAGGCAGAAAGUGAUGGGGCAACUAGAUAGAUGAGAAAACUCCAGGAGGGAGAGGUAGCAGAAAGGCAAGAGCGGAAGGUUUCCUGGAGAUAUCCUGAUGUGGACUUUCAAGGCAAAGGACUAUCUGGACAGCCUGGGAUGCCAAAUCUCCAGCCUAGGUACGAAAAAGUCUGCAGGCCCCAAAUUUCUCCUCUGUAAAACCAAGGGACUUGGACUAGAUGAGCAGCCUCUGAUGACUGACCUUGUAGCUCUGUCAUCAUUGGCUCCAAUUCUACAUACAAUCUUCCACAGCUCUGAAUACAUCUUUGUGUUCCUGGAAAACCUUCUGGUUCCCCAUGGCUUCCUGAACCAAACAACUGCUGAUUACAGUAUCGUGAACUUUCAGCAAGGGCCAGACAGAUUCACAAGUGAAUUCUUUCAAACUUUUAAAGAAUAAUUAAUCCCAAUACUGUACAAGCUAUUUGACAAAGUAAGAAAUGAAGGAGUUUUACCAAAUUCUUUUUAUGACACAAAUAUGGUACUGAUACCUAAGCCAGGAAGACUAAAAACAGAAAAUUAUAGUCCAAUUUCUUUAAUGUACAUAGAUGCAAAAAUCUUAAAUAAAAUACCAGCAAAGAGA